CCUGUGUUCCCAUCUUCUCGCGUGUAGAAUCCUACAUACGUGGAUUUUUUGUUGAGCGACGUUCCAGCUCGUACUGCGCUGAUGGAGUUAUCGGGGAUCUGAUUGAGUAGGACCGCGAAUGAGUUGGCGCGCAAGGACAGAUGGUGAAAACGUCGACUGCUCUCCCCACUCCAAAAUACUUUGCUCGUUCGCAGGCUUUGCGUAACUCGCAACGAUCUUAAUGUUUUUUAUACCGAACGUACACUUUGAUCCCCAUUCGUUUUAAUUUCCAUUGGACCGAGCUGUACCGUUGUGUAAUAUUCCCCUGACAAACCAACAAAUUAAAAGUAGAAGAAACAUC
Venturia canescens is the source of this 340-nucleotide long non-coding RNA. RefSeq lists it as uncharacterized. The transcript is spliced from 2 exons. The record is from RefSeq and is a predicted model, not a curated record. NCBI's taxonomy places the organism in Eukaryota, Metazoa, Arthropoda, Insecta, Hymenoptera, Ichneumonidae.